CCACCUGAAGGUGUUGAGGUAACUGUGAGUCCUAGCAGUUUGAACUUUUCUGCAGUGAAGGAGAGAAUGACCUAUCAAGUGACGUUUACACGUUCAGCAUCUGGCACUGGCCGCAACACAAACUUUGUGCAAGGAUACCUGAAAUGGUCAUCUGAUACGCACAUUGUUCGAAGUCCCAUUGCAGUUAUUUUGGAGUAGUGAAAGCACCAUCAGGCUUCUUCGGUUUUGAUCAAUAAAUUCUAGAGAUAAUUAUGUAUACCUCUCCUUGAGAUUUGAUGUUAGCUUGUAACAUGUUUUCUUUUUGUUGCAAUAGAUUGAACUAUGCGUUAAAUAAAGCUGUACUUGAAGACAAAUCCAAUUAACUGCAGAAAUAAAAUAUAAUCUGAAAAGAAUGAAUAGGUC
This 402-nucleotide long non-coding RNA is filed under the name Nicotiana benthamiana. RNAcentral's name for it is "long non-coding RNA (NBEN_LNC008249)". The record is from RNAcentral. Lineage: Eukaryota; Viridiplantae; Streptophyta; Magnoliopsida; Solanales; Solanaceae.